AUUGAACGCUGGCGGCACGCUUAACACAUGCAAGUCGAGCGGUAACGUGUCUAGUAGCAAUACUAGAUGAUGACGAGCGGCGGACGGGUGAGUAACACGUAGGAACUUGCCCAGUAGAGGGGGACAACCAAGGGAAACUUUGGCUAAUACCGCAUAUUCUCGAGAGAGGAAAGCUGCCUGCAAAGGUGGCGCUAUUGGAGAGGCCUGCGUCCGAUUAGCUAGUUGGUGGGGUAACGGCUCACCAAGGCGACGACGGGUAGCUGGUCUGAGAGGAGGGCCAGACACAUUGGGACUGAGACACGGCCCAGACUCCUACGGGAGGCAGCAGUGGGGAAUAUUGCGCAAGGGGCGAAAGCCUGACGCAGCGACGCCGCGUGUGGGAUGACGGCCUUCGGGUUGUAAACCACUGUCGGGAGGGACGAAUGCCCCGCAAGGGGAGUGACGGUACCUCCAAAGGAAGCACCGGCUAACUCCGUGCCAGCAGCCGCCGUAA
This 493-nucleotide ribosomal RNA is filed under the name uncultured bacterium. RNAcentral describes it as "partial 16S ribosomal RNA". It matches the Rfam family "Bacterial small subunit ribosomal RNA", at positions 29 to 523 of the family's 1533-position model. The record is from RNAcentral.